AGAAUCAACGCUGGCGGCGUGCCUAACACAUGCAAGUCGCACGAGAAAGUGGAGCAAUCCACGAGUAAAGUGGCGCACGGGUGAGUAACACGUGAAUGAUCUACCUCCGAGUGGGGAAAUAACUGAGAGAAAUCUUAGCUAAUACCGCAUAAUACCCACGGGUCAAAGCAGCAAUGCGCUUGGAGAGGAGUUCGCGGCCGAUUAGCUAGUUGGCGGGGUAAUGGCCCACCAAGGCGAUGAUCGGUAUCCGGCCUGAGAGGGCGCACGGACACACUGGAACUGAAACACGGUCCAGACUCCUACGGGAGGCAGCAGUGGGGAAUUUUGCGCAAUGGGGGAAACCCUGACGCAGCAACGCCGCGUGGAGGAUGAAAUCCCUUGGGAUGUAAACUCCUUUCGAUAGGGAAGAUAAUGACGGUACCUAUAGAAGAAGCCCGGCUAACUUCGUGCCAGCAGCCGC
Molecule: ribosomal RNA, 460 nt
Filed under: uncultured bacterium
Lineage: Bacteria
Description: SSU rRNA
Rfam family: Bacterial small subunit ribosomal RNA
Source: RNAcentral